RNAcentral lists this ribosomal RNA (253 nucleotides) under uncultured bacterium. RNAcentral describes it as "partial 16S ribosomal RNA". It matches the Rfam family "Bacterial small subunit ribosomal RNA", at positions 524 to 776 of the family's 1533-position model. The record is from RNAcentral.
UACGUAGGUGGCAAGCGUUGUUCGGAUUUAUUGGGUUUAAAGGGCGCGUAGGCGGGCAGGCAAGUCGGAGGUGAAAGCCCACGGCUCAACCGUGGAAGUGCCCCCGAUACUGCCAGUCUUGAGGGAGGUAGGGGCGUGCGGAACUUCCGGUGGAGCGGUGAAAUGCGUAGAUAUCGGAAGGAACACCGGUGGCGAAAGCGGCGCGCUGGACCUCUUCUGACGCUGAGGCGCGAAAGCCAGGGGAGCAAACGGG